CUCCGACGAAGACACAACUUUCGCGUCGAGUGUAAUUAUUUCAACAGCAGUGUGGCUACCAGAUAACACACACAUUAUACGUAGUAGGAUGUGACGGCGGUUCAGUGUAGUUCGUUUCGUGUAGUUUGUUGAUCGUGAGGAUGUUCCGUGUUAUGCCUUCGUGCGUGUUCCAUCAGCAGUACGGCAACCGGGAACAACGCCGUCAACAUCAAAAUCAAAACAUGCACUACCGGCCACCAGCGACUGGACCCGAUCCAAAAGGACGGCAUACCUUUGUUGACGUUCUUCAGACAUUACUGAUAUGAAAAAUUGCGACAUGUAUCUCUACACUGAUGACCUAGCGAUUUCGAGCUCUGCAAACAGCCCUCGCAGUAUAGUUAAGAAUCUUAACCUGUCGAUAAGGACAUAUUACAAAUUUUGCAAGACAUGGAAAAUAAAAAAAAAAAUAAAAAAAAAAUCAGAAGCCAUAUGCUUUACAAGAAACAGAUGCGCUAAAAAGCUUCCAAAAAGUUCAGUAAAAC
This is a long non-coding RNA of Anopheles bellator, 521 nucleotides long. RefSeq lists it as uncharacterized. The transcript is spliced from 2 exons. Lineage: Eukaryota; Metazoa; Arthropoda; Insecta; Diptera; Culicidae. The record is from RefSeq and is a predicted model, not a curated record.